GACGAACGCUGGCGGCAUGCCUAACACAUGCAAGUCGAACGGUAAGGCUUCCUUCGGGAAGUACACGAGUGGCGAACGGGUGAGUAACACGUGGGUAACCUACCCUUGACUGGGGGACAACCGAGGGAAACUUCGGCUAAUACCGCAUAACGUGCAUUGCCUCAAGGUGGUGUACCAAAGCUCCGGCGGUUAAGGAUGGGCCCGCGGCACAUUAGCUUGUUGGUGAGGUAACGGCUUACCAAGGCGACGAUCUGUAGCUGGGCUGAGAGGACGAUCCGCCACACUGGAACUGAGGCACGGUCAAGGCACCUACGGGAGGCAGCAGUGGGGAAUCUUGCGAAAGGGGCGAAAGCCUGACGAGGCAAUGCCGCGUGAGGGACGACGGCCUUAGGGUUGUAAACCUCUUUCAGCAGGGACGAACACAGACGGUACCUGCAGAAGAAGCCCCGGCUAACUACGUGCCAGCCGCCGCGGUAA
RNAcentral lists this ribosomal RNA (477 nucleotides) under uncultured bacterium. Its description in RNAcentral is "partial 16S ribosomal RNA". It matches the Rfam family "Bacterial small subunit ribosomal RNA", at positions 28 to 523 of the family's 1533-position model. The record is from RNAcentral.